RNAcentral lists this unclassified non-coding RNA (312 nucleotides) under plant metagenome. Its description in RNAcentral is "partial contains 5.8S ribosomal RNA, internal transcribed spacer 2, and large subunit ribosomal RNA". The stretch from base 1 to 104 matches the Rfam family "5.8S ribosomal RNA", at positions 50 to 154 of the family's 154-position model. The record is from RNAcentral.
GAAAUGCGAUACGUAAUGUGAAUUGCAAAUUCAGUGAAUCAUCGAGUCUUUGAACGCACAUUGCGCCCCCUGGUAUUCCGGGGGGCAUGCCUGUCCGAGCGUCAUUUCUGCCCUCAAGCACGGCUUGUGUGUUGGGCCCCGUCCUCCGAUCCCGGGGGACUGGCCCGAAAGGCAGCGGCGGCACCGCGUCCGGUCCUCGAGCGUAUGGGGCUUUGUCACCCGCUCUGUAGGCCCGGCCGGCGCUUGCCGAUCAACCCAAAUUUUUAUCCAGGUUGACCUCGGAUCAGGUAGGGAUACCCGCUGAACUUAAGC